RNAcentral lists this small nucleolar RNA (143 nucleotides) under Catagonus wagneri (Chacoan peccary). Its description in RNAcentral is "Small nucleolar RNA SNORA67 (ENSCWAG00000011624.1)". It matches the Rfam family "Small nucleolar RNA SNORA67". Rfam says of the family: U67 belongs to the H/ACA class of snoRNAs which are thought to guide the sites of modification of uridines to pseudouridines. Lineage: Eukaryota; Metazoa; Chordata; Mammalia; Artiodactyla; Tayassuidae. The record is from Rfam by way of RNAcentral.
UUCCAAAGAGAUGCCCUCUCCAAAAGGCCAACCAGUUGCUCCCCAAGAUGUCAGAAACACAGCAACUUGGGAUAAAAUGUGGUAUGCCCAAUGUCUGUGAGAGGAAUGGGAUGUUUCCUUUUGACUUAAGACUGCCUACAUAU